CAAUAGCGUAUAUUAAAGUUGUUGCAGUUAAAAAGCUCGUAGUUGGAUUUGUGGUUCGUCCCGCCGGCUGGGUCAUUGACUUUUGCUGUGCUGGUCGUCCAUCCUUGGGUGGAAUCUGUGUGGCAUUAGGUUGUCGCGCAGGGGGUGCCCAUCGUUUACUGUGAAAAAAUUAGAGUGUUCAAAGCAGGCUUAUGCCGUUGAAUAUAUUAGCAUGGAAUAAUGAUAUAGGACCUUGGUACUAUUUUGUUGGUUUGCGCAUCGAGGUAAUGAUUAAUAGGGACAGUUGGGGGUAUUCGUAUUCCAUUGUAAGAGGUGAAAUUCUUGGAUUUUUGGAAGACGAACUACUGCGAAAGCAUUUACCAAGGAUGUUUUCAUUAA
This 378-nucleotide ribosomal RNA is filed under the name uncultured eukaryote. RNAcentral describes it as "partial 18S ribosomal RNA". It matches the Rfam family "Eukaryotic small subunit ribosomal RNA", at positions 592 to 976 of the family's 1831-position model. The record is from RNAcentral.